UCUGUUUUGUCAAUAAAUCCUUGUUACUCACACUGCAAUUGGGUCCUCCUUCCAGAUCCCUGACAGUAUGUCUGUUGAGGAAGAGACAUGACAGCAGA
Molecule: long non-coding RNA, 98 nt
Organism: Sinocyclocheilus anshuiensis
Lineage: Eukaryota; Metazoa; Chordata; Actinopteri; Cypriniformes; Cyprinidae
Exons: 3
Source: RefSeq, a predicted model, not a curated record